GAUGAAGAACGUAGCGAAAUGCGAUAAGUAAUGUGAAUUGCAGAAUUCAGUGAAUCAUCGAGUCUUUGAACGCACAUUGCGCCCCCUGGUAUUCCGGGGGGCAUGCCUGUCCGAGCGUCAUUGCUGCCCUCAAGCACGGCUUGUGUGUUGGGCCCCCGCCCCCCGGCUUCGGGGGGCGGGCCCGAAAGGCAGCGGCGGCACCGCGUCCGGUCCUCGAGCGUAUGGGGCUUCGUCACCCGCUCUGUAGGCCCGGCCGGCGCCCGCCGGCGACCCCAAUCAAUCUUUCCAGGUUGACCUCGGAUCAGGUAGGGAUACCCGCUGAACUUAAGCAUAUCAAUAAGCGGAGGA
This 348-nucleotide unclassified non-coding RNA is filed under the name soil metagenome. RNAcentral describes it as "partial contains 5.8S ribosomal RNA, internal transcribed spacer 2, and large subunit ribosomal RNA". The stretch from base 1 to 120 matches the Rfam family "5.8S ribosomal RNA", at positions 35 to 154 of the family's 154-position model. The record is from RNAcentral.